Molecule: long non-coding RNA, 414 nt
Organism: Chiroxiphia lanceolata (lance-tailed manakin)
Lineage: Eukaryota; Metazoa; Chordata; Aves; Passeriformes; Pipridae
Exons: 2
Source: RefSeq, a predicted model, not a curated record
UGAAUGCGUUUCAUACCCGUUUAAAUACACUGUUUAGCUAUUUAAAUGCAUUGUUUAUCUAUUUAAAUGCAUCGUUUAUCUAUUUUACAUGCAUCGUUUAUCUAUUUUACAUUUAGCUAGAUCAUCCUAUCUGUUUUAUAUAGAUUUGAACUAUCGCAUAUCUAAGGUCAAUUUAAACCAUUGCACGUCUAUCUUGGGUCAAUUUAAACCAUUGCACAUCUAUCUUGGGUCAAUUUGAAUCAUCACGUGUCCAUUUCAGAUCAAUAUCUAUUUUAUGUUGAUUUCAAUCAUGGCAUCUCUAUUUUACAUCAAUUUGAAUACAUUUAUAUCUAUUUUACAUCGAUUUAAUGAUGUUUGUAUUGAAGGUUCCAAAUUUAUAUCUGUUUUAUGUUGAUUUAAAUACGUUUUAUAUCU